AUUGAACGCUGGCGGCAGGCCUAACACAUGCAAGUCGAACGGUAACAGGAAGAAGCUUGCUUCUUUGCUGACGAGUGGCGGACGGGUGAGUAAUGUCUGGGAAACUGCCUGAUGGAGGGGGAUAACUACUGGAAACGGUAGCUAAUACCGCAUAACGUCGCAAGACCAAAGAGGGGGACCUUCGGGCCUCUUGCCAUCGGAUGUGCCCAGAUGGGAUUAGCUUGUUGGUGGGGUAACGGCUCACCAAGGCGACGAUCUCUAGCUGGUCUGAGAGGAUGGCCAGCCACACUGGAACUGAGACACGGUCCAGACUCCUACGGGAGGCAGCAGUGGGGAAUAUUGCACAAUGGGCGCAAGCCUGAUGCAGCCAUGCCGCGUGUAUGAAGAAGGCCUUCGGGUUGUAAAGUACUUUCAGCGGGGAGGAAAGGAGUAAAGUUAAUACCUUUGCUCAUUGACGUUACCCGCAGAAGAAGCACCGGCUAACUCCGUGCCAGCAGUCGCGGUAAUACGGAG
Molecule: ribosomal RNA, 513 nt
Filed under: uncultured bacterium
Lineage: Bacteria
Description: bacterial SSU rRNA
Rfam family: Bacterial small subunit ribosomal RNA
Source: RNAcentral